AAAAGAUCUUAGCCUGCACCCUUCUUGUGGACUGCUUGCGGGCCACAACCAGGGACGAGGCUGAAUUCCCCGAAAUGGGAAUAACAUCAUGUGAACUGUUCUGUCUCUGGCGGUGGGAUGGCUAAAAACCAUCUGUCAGCAUCCGAGAUUUCUCUCGGUGUGCCGUGGACAAGCCGCCAACGUUGUAUGUUUCAUACAAACUUUUUGUUUCAUUAAAAUUGUCUGACCUACCUUUGUAUCUAAAAUAUACAAAAA
RNAcentral lists this unclassified non-coding RNA (255 nucleotides) under soil metagenome. RNAcentral describes it as "partial internal transcribed spacer 1". The record is from RNAcentral.